This 73-nucleotide transfer RNA is filed under the name Ailuropoda melanoleuca (giant panda). It matches the Rfam family "tRNA". Rfam says of the family: Transfer RNA (tRNA) molecules are approximately 80 nucleotides in length. Their secondary structure includes four short double-helical elements and three loops (D, anti-codon, and T loops). Further hydrogen bonds mediate the characteristic L-shaped molecular structure. tRNAs have two regions of fundamental functional importance: the anti-codon, which is responsible for specific mRNA codon recognition, and the 3' end, to which the tRNAs corresponding amino acid is attached (by aminoacyl-tRNA synthetases). tRNAs cope with the degeneracy of the genetic code in two manners: having more than one tRNA (with a specific anti-codon) for a particular amino acid; and 'wobble' base-pairing, i.e. permitting non-standard base-pairing at the 3rd anti-codon position. Lineage: Eukaryota; Metazoa; Chordata; Mammalia; Carnivora; Ursidae. The record is from Rfam by way of RNAcentral.
ACCUGACUGGCUCAGUUGAUGGAGCAUGUGACUCUUGAUCUCAUAGUUGUGAGUUCAAACCCCAUGUUGGUCA